RNAcentral lists this ribosomal RNA (253 nucleotides) under uncultured bacterium. Its description in RNAcentral is "partial 16S ribosomal RNA". It matches the Rfam family "Bacterial small subunit ribosomal RNA", at positions 524 to 776 of the family's 1533-position model. The record is from RNAcentral.
UACGUAGGUGGCAAGCGUUGUCCGGAUUUACUGGGCGUAAAGAGCGCGCAGGCGGUCGUUCAAGUCGCGUGUGAAAGCCCCCGGCUCAACUGGGGAGGGUCACGCGAUACUGAUCGACUGGAAGGCAGGAGAGGGUAGUGGAAUUCCCGGUGUAGUGGUGAAAUGCGUAGAUAUCGGGAGGAACACCAGUGGCGAAGGCGACUACCUGGCCUGUUCUUGACGCUGAGGCGCGAAAGCGUGGGGAGCAAACAGG